UCCGUUCGCCUCCCGGGCGCGCACAGCUCCGGCAUUCGCUCCGCUCCGCCUCUGCCACGCCGCUCUCCGAGCUUCGCCGCAGCCAGCGCGAGAGCGCGCCCUCCGCGCCGCCGCCCGGGCUCCCGGCGCCCGAUCCCCGUGGCUUGGUGCCCGGCCCCCCGCGCCCCGCGACCUCGCCGUCUCCCAAGUCCUGGCCCUGCUCCCCACCCGGCCCAGCUCGGCCUCUGUCUGUGUCCUCCCCCCCACCCCCACCCCCUUCCUCUCUCUCUCUUUUGCUUGCUUGCUUGUUUGCUAGCUCUCAGACCAGGCGAAGCAGCUUCGCAGGAAAAUCCCAGAAACCUUUGCAAAAAGCUGACAAUGAAAUUUAAGAAGUUCUUCGAUUUCGGCGCCAUUUUCGAGUGGAGCGAGAGCGACUGACCGCCUCCUGAAGUGACAAGACGCCUCUUUGUAAUCUCUUUUCGGCAACCAAGGACAUUUUUCGCCAUUAAUCUCAAAAGCCACUGUAAAAGUUGUUUGUAAAUGAAAUAGCCAAAACAAGGUGGAAUUAAGAGACAAUUGUAUGUCCCAACUGGGGGAGUGGAGUUAUUAUAUUAAUAACUGUGUUCACCGUGACAGAAGUAGUGAAUCUCAGCCUGGUGUGAUGAAUUUUGUGCUUAGUCUGAUUAAAUACUGUGCACAUUUCAUUAACUAAUAAAUAGGACACAACAUCCAUUGUACUGGUUCUGAAAAACCGAUAUGAUUUUGAAAUGACCCAGAACACUUAGCACACUUGGAUACUUUAAGUGUUCAUGACCAUAUUGAAAUGUAUUUUAAUUUUCGAAACCAUUACAGUUCUAUGCUGGUUCUGUUGUUUUACCUUUUAGGUUUGUGGUGGAGGUUACAGAGUAGUUUCUUCUCUGCUUAAUUGACCAUUUCACUUAAAGGAGGGGGAGUGGGUGCCAUGUAACUUAUUGCUAAUGUGUGUCCAGUUUAAAAAGGAAAAGGUGGUGUGUAAUGAGUUAAGCAUUAAGGAGUUUGCACUGUGACCGCCAUUUCAGGACGUGAGUUUCUGUGGAACUGCUUAGGACAGGAAAGAGUGAACUGACACCAAGUAUUGAAAUUUCUUGGAUUUAUGGUUUGAUAGGUGACAUUGAAAAGUAUAAAUUAUUUAUAACUAAGUUUGAGUAACCAAUCUCAUAUGUAAACAUCUAGAUAUUUUAUUUAGAGACAAUUAUCGCUCAAAAGAAGGGGGCGCUGGGGGUUAAAGGGGACAUUGGAUGCUUGUAUGGAAGGAUCUAUAUUUCCAGCUCUCUUAUAUGUUACAAUCAGUUGAAGCUGCCAGAGACAUUUUGGUUAUCUCCUUUAAGUCAAUAAAUGAAAAGUUGUGCUCCCCCCCCCCCCCACGGGGACAUUACAUCAUUACAUGAGACUUCUGAUUUGUAACAUGCAGCAGGAAGAAGUUUCCCUAAGACUUUAGAGCUGGCAAGAGAGAUCCAGAUAGUGCCAAAGUGCCUCAAUUUAUUUUCUCUUACUAUUAUUUCCUUCAGAGGUAAGACUCUUCCCCACCCUCAUUCCUGUCUCCCACCCCUCUGCUUUUCACCCUACACUUUUCCAAGAUUCAGCCGCUGCGGGGGGGGGGGGCGGGGGGGGGAUUGAGAGUCACACCCUUCGCUACACCGGCCAGUUUCGAAGUCAAACGGUGAAGUCCUCAAAAGUACGUCGAUCUGGAAUGACGCGUCUUAGUCCUACCCUUUGCUUUAUUCCUCGCCUUUGGGUGGGACUUGACGGGGCUUCCUUCCGGUCAUCAUGUCUUUCUCCACCUGCAGGUACCCCAGAGCGAUCCCCACCUUCGUUGACUCCGAGGGGAUGCAGCAGCAAUUCAUGUUUUGAAGUGCUUUGAACGGUUCAAAACGUGAGGCGCUGCUAUACCCCCUCGCGGGGAAGUUGGAAGGUUGGGUUCUGCUGGACGUGUGUUCCUGCGGGACGCCCGCUCCCAAAGGCCAGUUCGGGAGCAGGUGAAAUUUUAAAUGAUUGCAAAAAUCCCUUGCGGAUCACCUAGAAUACCACCCACACGACAAAAGGCAAGAAGGACCACCUUCAAGCCCCAGCAACUCAGUGGGCACCGGGUAUUGGAAAAGGAGCAAGAAGAGGCAGGAAGGGUGAGCGGGCGCCCUGUGGCUCCUGGUAACUGGCUCAGAUCCUGCGUGUGGGGAGGGCUUUGGGGUCCAGGAAAGGCGCACGUUUCUGGGCCCUUCUCAACACCCUCUUUCCCUCCCCCCGCCCCCCAGCUGAGUUGCGGGGAGCUUCCUGGGGGCUGGGGCAAGGACCGUUGCGGCGAGGCUCCGGGCCUAGCAUGAACGUGAACCCCAGCGUGAUCGGAGGCCUGCAGGAGAGCAAGGAAUGAGGCGCUGCGUUUUCUAGCUGCUUCUCACCUUAUCGCCCCAAAUCUGGCCCCGGGACUCCACUGUGGAGGCGCUGCCUCAAGGCCACCUUUGUCGCUCCAGGGGCCUCACGGAAAAGAAAUGUCCCCCCGCCCCUGGCAGGGUAUUGGCCUGACACUUCCUGAAGAAAAUGGCAGCGCCCGAGCUGUCCACCGAGGGCCCUUCCCGCCCGGGGCACAAGGGAGCCUUCGUGCCGCAACCCCGCCGACCCCUAGAGCCACCUGCACCCCUCGCGGGGGUCCCGAGCGGCUGGGAGCGGGAUGGCCGGCCUAGAGAAGAGCCGGCCCAGGCCUGCCUCGUCCUGUGAAAGGCGCCGCAGGGGCACAUGGCUUUGGGCCUGGCGUCUGGGUGGGUAGAGGACAAAAGGAGGUGCGGACUCGUCCCCAAGCUUCAGGCCCUCUUGGAAGCGAGCGAACACCAAGAGCCCCGCGGGCCUGCACGGGCUGCCUCGAGCUGGCCUUGCGGGCGGCCCGGGCCCGGGGUCCCCGCAGUUCUGCGGGCGGGCAGGGUGGGGAGGCCCGGGGUCGCGGGCGGCCGGGAGUCGGGCAGCCCCCAGGGCCCACGCGGCCGCGCUCCCAGACGCCCUUGCGCCCGCGGCAGGCGCGGGGGGACGCUUUGGGGGCCCUUCCGGCCCCCGCCGCGGCCCCUCGGGCUCCCCGGGGCCCUCCCCGCCUCGCCGGCCCCUCGGGCGCGCAGUCCCCGGGCCCGGGCGGCGAACGGGUUCCCGCGCCCGCCUUUCCCCUGCCCUGGGGGCGGGGGGUGCCGGGAGGCACCUGGCAGCUGCCCUCCUGCCUCCCACCGGCCUCCCUCGUCCCUCUCUGCGCCGCUCUGCACGGGCGCCCCUCGAGCCAGAAGGAGGCCCCGGGGCAGCCGGGCGCCCAGCCUCCCCCUCCCCAGCCCCGCCCUCCCCCCCC
Mustela lutreola (European mink) is the source of this 3334-nucleotide long non-coding RNA. RefSeq lists it as uncharacterized. Lineage: Eukaryota; Metazoa; Chordata; Mammalia; Carnivora; Mustelidae. The record is from RefSeq and is a predicted model, not a curated record. The transcript has 4 exons.